This is a long non-coding RNA of Cyprinodon tularosa, 1367 nucleotides long. RefSeq lists it as uncharacterized. The transcript is spliced from 2 exons. The record is from RefSeq and is a predicted model, not a curated record. NCBI's taxonomy places the organism in Eukaryota, Metazoa, Chordata, Actinopteri, Cyprinodontiformes, Cyprinodontidae.
CACACACACGCACACACAAAAAUUUGAUAAUCGAGAGACAUGGGCUGGUAGACGGGAGAGAGACAAGCUGGCAGCUGUUAGGACAGUGUGGGACAACUGGGUAGAGCAACUUCCACUACUCUAUAACCCAGGCCCUAAUGUCACAGUGGAUGAAAGGCUGGUGGCAUUCAGAGGUUGCUGCCCAUUUAGGCAAUACAUGCCUUCCAAACCAGCUAAAUAUGGGAUAAAAAUCUGUGCAGCAUGUGAUGCAAACACCAGCUAUGCAUUGAACAUGCAGGUUUACACUGGAAAGCCGGUGCAGGAGCUCCAGACAAGAAUCAGAGCAGAAGGGUCGUGCUUGACAUGGCACAGGGUCUCAGGGAACAGAAGAUAACCUGUGACAAUUUUUUCACAAAGUACAACUUGGAUCAGGAGCUUCUAAAGAGAAAGCUCACGAUGGUCGGAACUGUCCGAAAGAACAGGGCUGAACUCCCUGCUGAGCUGCUGGUAAUCAAGGACAGGGCCCCUCAAUCUUCCAUGUUUGCCUAGACAGACACCACAGCCCUAGUGUCUUACUGCCCCAAAAAGGCAAAAAAUGUUGUGCUCAUGAGCACUCUGCACAAAACUGCUGAAAUCAGCACAAGAGAGGACCAGAAACCAAGCAUGAUCCUUGAUUACAAUGCCACCAAAAGGCGGGUAGACAACUUUGACAAAGUCACAGGGUCCUAAAGCACCAAACGGAUGACUGCGCACUGGCCAUUGGUCAUCUUUUAUAACAUUAUCAAUGUAUCAGCCUACAAUGCAUUUAUCAUCUGGACGGAGAUAUUUCCUGACUGGAAUGUGUCAAAGCUGUACAAGAGGCGCAUCUCUCUCGAGGAGCUGGGGAAGGCGCUUGUGACACCGAACAUCCAACGGAGGCAGCACCUGCCAAGGACCCUCGCCGCUGCAGCCAUGGUGAGGGAGAUCCACGAGAGGACUGCAUCAAGUACACCAAUGCGUGAGGUUGCUGCUGAGGGGAAAAGAAAGAGGAAGAGGUGCCAGUUCUGCAGGCCAUCUGACGAUGUCAAGACAAGCAUGACCUGCGCUAAAUGUGCAAAAUUCAUUUGCUCAAAGCACAGUGUGAUGACAUGUCACUCAUGUGGUGUGGAGAUGUACAGACAGACAGACAGACACACACGCACAUACACCUUGUUCAUAUGGCAAUUGCUUGUUUGUUGUAUUGUUGUAUUGCGACUUUGUUCAUUUCUGGUUCACAAACAGUGCAUGUAUGUAAAACAAAAUUUAAAUGUUAAGUUUCAAUGUUGUGUAAAACUAUUGUGUUUUAUAUGUUGGUCUUUCAAAAGUAAUAAAGUGGUGAAACAUUAAAAAAAGUUUGAACAUGCAUUUUU